UUACAUCAGCAGUCAUCCUUGUGAUAGUGUGUGGCUGGCGCCGCUCCUGCCAAAUGGCGCCCAUUGGGACAUCCUCAAAAACCUUGUGGCUAAUACCCGUCCGCUCCAGUCAACCUCAGCACAGGCGCCAGCCCUCGGGCUGGCGUCCUGGUGGUGGAUCAUGACCAGUCGAGAUGAAGACCAGCGCCCCUCUCGGGGCAGUGUGUUGCAGGUUGACUCAGGCUGGACUCCCGGUGGGGGAACAGUCAUUCUGGCAGAGUGGUGGCCUCGUGCCACAUCGCUUGAUCACAGGAACUUCUGACCUAUCAGCUUGGACUGUGGGGUAGUGGCCCACAAUGGCAGUAACGGGUAACGGAGAAUCAGGGUUCGAUUCCGGAGAGGGAGCCUGAGAGAUGGCUACCACUACCAAGGUGGGCAGCAGGCGCGCAAAUUGCCCAAUACAAGCCCCUGUGUGUGAGGCAGCGACGAACUGCAGCAAUCCCGCUGGCCCUUUGUGCCAGUGGUCUUUGGAAUGGAUGCAACCCAAACACAGCCAUGAGUAUCGACUGGAGGGCAAGUCUGGUGCCAGCAGCCGCGGUAAUUCCAGCUCCAAGAGCGUACACUAUCAUUGCUUCUGUUAAAACACCUGUAGUCCGCCACUGGGUCCAGGUCCGCUGGGUGGCUGGCUCUGGGGGACGGUCCGGCCGGGGUUCGCCCUGGUCGGGUCCCCUCCGGGGCUGGGUCAAACCCCCAGCGGUGUGUCCUGGGCCCGCAUCCCUCGAGGAAUACCGGUGAGAUGCUCCUGCCGCAAGCCCCCUUCACUGGGGGCCCAGGUGGAAACGCCCGUCACGCAGGCAUGGGUUGCGAAGCCACCGGGGCCCGGUGCCCCGGACCACGGUCCGCCGUGGACGCAGCCCGCCACAGGAGCCGACCUGACCUUGAUACCCUGGAAAACUCAGUGUGCUCAACGCGUCCUGUCCGUCAUGGCUGGAUGCUUAUCCAUGGAAUGUCGCAGCAUCGACCUAGUGUGGCUCAGUGUUUGUGCUGGCCUUGGGGCCCACCCAGGGCAAUGUGGUGCAUGGUUCUGGACUGGACGGGGUUGGUGCGGGGCUCGUCCCCAAGCCCUCCCCCAGAGUACUGUAAGCCAAGUGCUGAACGGAGAUGAUGGAAUCCACCAGGGUGAGAGAUAUGGGAACGCCAGAGGUGAAAUUCUUAGACCGCUCCCAGAUGCCCAGGAGCGAUGGCGUUAUGCAGGCCUGUGUUCAUCGAUCAAGGAUGAGAGUCUGGGGAACGAAGAUGAUCAGACACCGUCGUAGUCCAGCACCGUAAACCGUGCCAGCAAGGCCUCAGCGGGGCACGUCCCAAGACCCCGCUGGUGCCACUCCCCUACCAACGAGAAAUCCACAGCCUGUGGGUUCAGGGGGGAGUACUGUCGCAAGGCUGAAACUUAAAGGAAUUGACGGAAUGGCACCACAAGGCGUGGAGUAUGCGGCUUAAUUUGACUCAACACGGGGAAUGUUACCAGGUCAGGACACAGCCAGGAUGGACAGAUUGAGAGCUCUCUCUAGAUCCUGUGGACGGUGGUGCAUGGCCGCUCCUGAUUGGUGGGGUGACUUGUCUGGUUGAUUCCGAUAACGAGUGAGAUCUCUGCCUCCCAGUAGCCCCUGGCUCGCAUCUGGUAGGGCCUGGUCCCGGGAGCCAAGCCCAGGGGUCGCCCCGGUUCGCCGGGGUUCCCUGGGUUCCCGGGCCGCCCGAGAGCCUUGGGUCCAGCUUCUCUGAGGUGCUGUGUUCGCUUCCAAAGGGCAUGCAUGCUAGAGCCAACAGCAGGUCUGUGAUGCCCCCAGAUGUUCUGGGCCGCACGCGCACUACAAUGGAAUGGUGAAGGGGUGAGCCGCUCACAUCCUGUGAGACCUGGCCAGCAAUGGCUGGGAAAUCCUGGGAGCCGAUGUCCGUACUGGGGAUAGACGAUUGCAACUGUGUGCCUUGAACGUGGAAUGCCUAGUAGGCGCUGGUCAUCAGCCAGCACCGAUUGUGUCCCUGCC
This 2021-nucleotide ribosomal RNA is filed under the name Euglena viridis. RNAcentral describes it as "bacterial SSU rRNA". It matches the Rfam family "Eukaryotic small subunit ribosomal RNA", at positions 101 to 1657 of the family's 1831-position model. Lineage: Eukaryota; Euglenozoa; Euglenophyceae; Euglenales; Euglenaceae. The record is from RNAcentral.